This 677-nucleotide ribosomal RNA is filed under the name uncultured archaeon. RNAcentral's name for it is "bacterial SSU rRNA". It matches the Rfam family "Archaeal small subunit ribosomal RNA", at positions 321 to 999 of the family's 1478-position model. The record is from RNAcentral.
UCCUAUGGGGUGCAGCAGGCGAGAAACCUUUGCAAUGUGCGCAAGCACGACAAGGUUAAUCCGAGUGUUUCCUGCUAAAGGAAUCUUUUGUUAGUUGUAAAACCACUGAUGAAUAAGGGGUGGGCAAGUUCUGGUGUCAGCCGCCGCGGUAAAACCAGCACCUCAAGUGGUCAGGAUGAUUAUUGGGCCUAAAGCAUCCGUAGCCUGUUCUGUAAGUUUCCGGUUAAAUCCAUUAGCUCAACUAAUGGGCUGCCGAAAAUACUGCAAAACUAGGGAGUGGGAGAGGUAGACGGUACUCGGUAGGAAGGGGUAAAAUCCUUUGAUCUAUUGAUGACCACCUGUGGCGAAGGCGAUCUACCAGAACACGUUCGACGGUGAGGGAUGAAAGCUGGGGGAGCAAACCGGAUUAGAUACCCGGGUAGUCCCAGCUGUAAACGAUGCAGACUCGGUGAUGCCCUGGCUUGUGGCCAGUGCAGUGCCGCAGGGAAGCCGUUAAGUUUGCCGCCUGGGAAGUACGUACGCAAGUAUGAAACUUAAAGGAAUUGGCGGGGGAGCACCACAAGGGGUGAAGCCUGCGGUUCAAUUGGAGUCAACGCCAGAAAUCUUACCCGAAGAGACAGCAGAAUGAAGGUCAAGCUGGAGACUUUACCAGACAAGCUGAGAAGUGGUGCAUGGCC